This 465-nucleotide ribosomal RNA is filed under the name uncultured bacterium. RNAcentral's name for it is "partial 16S ribosomal RNA". It matches the Rfam family "Bacterial small subunit ribosomal RNA", at positions 331 to 792 of the family's 1533-position model. The record is from RNAcentral.
CCAGACUCCUACGGGAGGCAGCAGUGAGGAAUAUUGGUCAAUGGGCGCGAGCCUGAACCAGCCAAGUCGCGUGAGGGAGGACGGCCCUACGGGUUGUAAACCUCUUUUGCCGGGGAGCAACGGGCGUCACGUGUGGCGCCACUGAGAGUACCCGGAGAAAAAGCAUCGGCUAACUCCGUGCCAGCAGCCGCGGUAAUACGGAGGAUGCGAGCGUUAUCCGGAUUUAUUGGGUUUAAAGGGUGCGUAGGUUGUUUUUUAAGUCAGCGGUGAAAGUUUGUGGCUCAACCAUAAAAUUGCCGUUGAAACUGGAAGACUUGAGUGUGUUUGAGGUAGGCGGAAUGCGUGGUGUAGCGGUGAAAUGCAUAGAUAUCACGCAGAACUCCGAUUGCGAAGGCAGCGUACCGGCGCCCAACUGACGCUGAAGCACGAAGGCGUGGGUAUCGAACAGGAUUAGAUACCCCAGUA